Oncorhynchus keta (chum salmon) is the source of this 336-nucleotide long non-coding RNA. RefSeq lists it as uncharacterized. Lineage: Eukaryota; Metazoa; Chordata; Actinopteri; Salmoniformes; Salmonidae. The record is from RefSeq and is a predicted model, not a curated record. The transcript is spliced from 3 exons.
AGAGAGGGUCCUUAGUGGGAAUACGAGAUCUGUACUGGAGGUCCUACAGAGGGAGGGGGGGAGGAAGAGAGAGAGAGGGUCCUUAGUGGGAAUACGAGAUCUGUACUGGAGGUCCUACAGAGGGAGGGGGGGAGGAAGAGAGAGAGAGGGUCCUUAGUGGGAAUACGAGAUCUGUACUGGAGGUCCUACAGAGGGAGGGGGGGAGGAAGAGAGAGAGAGGGUCCUUAGUGGGAAUACGAGAUCUGUACUGGAGGUCCUACAGAGGGAGGGGGGGAGGAAGAGAGAGAGAGGGUCCUUAGUGGGAAUACGAGAUCUGUACUGGAGGUCCUACAGAGG